Molecule: ribosomal RNA, 446 nt
Filed under: uncultured bacterium
Lineage: Bacteria
Description: SSU rRNA
Rfam family: Bacterial small subunit ribosomal RNA
Source: RNAcentral
AGAACGAACGCUGGCGGCAGGCCUAAUACAUGCAAGUCGAGCGCGUGUAGCAAUACACGAGCGGCGGACGGGUGAGUAACACGUGGGAACAUGCCUAUCGGUUCGGAAUAACGCAGGGAAACUUGCGCUAAUACCGAAUGCGCCGGAAACGGGAAAGAUUUAUCGCCGAUAGAUUGGCCCGCGUUGGAUUAGCUAGUUGGCGGGGUAACGGCCCACCAAGGCGACGAUCCAUAGCUGGUUUGAGAGAACGAUCAGCCACACUGGGACUGAGACACGGCCCAGACUCCUACGGGAGGCAGCAGUAGGGAAUCUUGGACAAUGGGGGAAACCCUGAUCCAGCCAUGCCGCGUGAGUGAUGAAGGCCUUCGGGUUGUAAAACUCUUUCGACGGGACGAUAAUGACGGUACCCGUAGAAGAAGCUCCGGCUAACUCGUGCCAGCAGCCGC